AUUGAACGCUGGCGGCAUGCCUAACACAUGCAAGUCGAACGGCAGCACGGCAGUAGCAAUACUGUGGGUGGCGAGUGGCGGACGGGUGAGUAACGCGUGGGAACGUACCCUUUGCUACGGAAUAGCCUCGGGAAACUGGGAGUAAUACCGUAUGUGCCCUUCGGGGAAGGAUUAUCGGCAAAGGAUCGGCCCGCGUUGGAUUAGGUAGUUGGUGGGGUAAGUGGCCUACCAAGCCGACGAUCCAUAGCUGGUUUGAGAGGAUGAUCAGCCACACUGGGACUGAGACACGGCCCAGACUCCUACGGGAGGCAGCAGUGGGGAAUCUUAGACAAUGGGUGGCAAGCCUGAUCUAGCCAUGCCGCGUGAGCGAUGAAGGCCUUAGGGUUGUAAAGCUCUUUCAGUGGGGAAGAUAAUGACUGUACCCACAGAAGAAGCCCCGGCUAACUCCGUGCCAGCAGCCGCGGU
Molecule: ribosomal RNA, 465 nt
Filed under: uncultured bacterium
Lineage: Bacteria
Description: bacterial SSU rRNA
Rfam family: Bacterial small subunit ribosomal RNA
Source: RNAcentral